Molecule: ribosomal RNA, 497 nt
Filed under: uncultured bacterium
Lineage: Bacteria
Description: partial 16S ribosomal RNA
Rfam family: Bacterial small subunit ribosomal RNA
Source: RNAcentral
GACGAACGCUGGCGGCGUGCCUAAUACAUGCAAGUAGAACGCUGAAGACAGGAGCUUUCUCUUCCUGGAUGAUAUGCGAACGGGUGAGUAACGCGUAGGUAACCUGCCUUGGAGCAGGGGAUAACUAUUGGAAACGAUAGCUAAUACCGCAUAACAAUGGAUGACUCAUGUCAUUUAUUUGAAAGGGGCAAAUGCUCCACUACAAGAUGGACCUGCGUUGUAUUAGCUAGUAGGUCGGGUAACGGCUGACCCAGUCGUCGAUACAUAGCCGGCCUGAGACGGUGAUGGGCAGCAGUGGGACUGAGACGAGGACCAGACACCUUCGGGAGGAAGCAGGAGGGAAUCUUCGGCAAUGGGGGGAAGCCGGACCGAGCAAGGCCGCGGGGGAGAAGAAGGUUUGCGGAGCGUAAAGAUCUGUUGUAAGUCAAGGACGGGAGUGAGAGUGGAAAGUUCACGCUGUGACGGUAACUUAGCAGAGAGGGACGGCUAACUACGUG